RNAcentral lists this small RNA (568 nucleotides) under Pan troglodytes (chimpanzee). Its description in RNAcentral is "processed transcript". The record is from RNAcentral. Lineage: Eukaryota; Metazoa; Chordata; Mammalia; Primates; Hominidae.
ACAGAGGCCAGGCUCUCAAGCAGACGUGUGGCCUGAUGGCAGUAGAGAGAGACCUGGGAUGCAGAGGCCAAGUGAUGGGAAACAGAAAGGCUGAGUCAUGAAAGAUGGAGAAGCAGAAUGAGGAGGGAUGGAGAUGUCAGUAAUCGGAUGUGGAUGAGUGUGCCCGAAGCCCCCCACCCUGCACCUACGGCCGGUGUGAGAACACAGAAGGCAGCUUCCAGUGUGUCUGCCCCAUGGGCUUUCAACCCAAUGCUGCUGGCUCCGAGUGCGAGGAUGUGGAUGAGUGUGAGAACCACCUCGCAUGCCCUGGGCAGGAGUGUGUGAACUCGCCCGGCUCCUUCCAGUGCAGGGCCUGUCCUUCUGGCCACCACCUGCACCGUGGCAGAUGCACUGAUGUGGACGAAUGCAGUUCGGGUGCCCCUCCCUGUGGUCCCCACGGCCACUGCACUAACACCGAAGGCUCCUUCCGCUGCAGCUGCGCGCCAGGCUACCGGGCGCCGUCGGGUCGGCCCGGGCCCUGCGCAGACGUGAACGAGUGCCUGGAGGGCGAUUUCUGCUUCCCUCACGG